UACGUACGGGGCUAGCGUUGUCCGGAUUUAUUGGGCGUAAAGAGCGUGUAGGCGGCCAGGUAGGUCUGCUGUGAAAACUCGAGGCUCAACCUCGAGACGUCGGCGGAAACCAUCUGGCUAGAGUCCGGAAGAGGAGAGUGGAAUUCCUGGUGUAGCGGUGAAAUGCGCAGAUAUCAGGAAGAACACCCGUGGCGAAGGCGGCUCUCUGGGACGGUACUGACGCUGAGACGCGAAAGCGUGGGGAGCGAACAGG
RNAcentral lists this ribosomal RNA (253 nucleotides) under uncultured bacterium. RNAcentral describes it as "partial 16S ribosomal RNA". It matches the Rfam family "Bacterial small subunit ribosomal RNA", at positions 524 to 776 of the family's 1533-position model. The record is from RNAcentral.